This 497-nucleotide ribosomal RNA is filed under the name uncultured bacterium. RNAcentral describes it as "partial 16S ribosomal RNA". It matches the Rfam family "Bacterial small subunit ribosomal RNA", at positions 28 to 507 of the family's 1533-position model. The record is from RNAcentral.
GAUGAACGCUGGCGGCGUGCCUAAUACAUGCAAGUCGAGCGAACAGACGAGGAGCUUGCUCCUCUGACGUUAGCGGCGGACGGGUGAGUAACCCGUGGAUAACCUACCUCUAAGCCUGGGAUAACUUCGGGAAACCGGAGCUAAUACCGGAUAAUAUAUUGAACCGCAUGGUUCAAUAGUGAAAGACGGUUUUGCUGUCACUUAUAGAUGGAUCCGCGCCGCCUUAGCUAGUUGGUAAGGUUACGGCUUACCAAGGCAACGAUGCGUAGCCGACCUGAGAGGGUGGUCGGCCACACUGGAACGGAGACACGGUCCAGACUCCUACGGGAGGCAGCAGUAGGGAAUCUGCCGCAAUGGGCGAAAGCUUGACGGAGCAACGCCGCGUGAGUGAUGAAGGUCUUCGGAUCGGAAAACUCUGUUAUUAGGGAAUAACAAAUGUGUAAGUAACUAUGCACGUCUUGACGGUACCUAAUCAGAAAGCCACGGCUAACUACGUG